AAGCGUUUAUGACCAGACUUGGGCUUGGUUAAUCAUCUGGGGUUCUCGCUGGUGCACUUGGCCGGCCCAGGCCAGCAUCAGUUUGCUUCGGGGGAUAAAGGCUUCGGGAAUGUGGCUCCCUCGGGAGUGUUAUAGCCCGUUGUGUAAUACCCUGCGGCAGACUGAGGUACGCGCUCCGCAAGGAUGCUGGCGUAAUGGUCGUCA
This 204-nucleotide ribosomal RNA is filed under the name Bionectriaceae sp. Its description in RNAcentral is "partial large subunit ribosomal RNA". The record is from RNAcentral. Lineage: Eukaryota; Fungi; Ascomycota; Sordariomycetes; Hypocreales; Bionectriaceae.